CGUGUAGGCGGUCUGUUAAGUCUGAUGUGAAAUCCCCUCGCUCAACGAGGGAACUGCGUCGGAUACUGGCAGACUUGAGUACCGGAGAGGAAGGUGGAAUUCCCGGUGUAGCGGUGAAAUGCGUAGAUAUCGGGAAGAACACCGGUGGCGAAGGCGGCCUUCUGGACGGGUACUGACGCUGAGACGCGAAAGCGUGGGGAGCAAACA
RNAcentral lists this ribosomal RNA (207 nucleotides) under uncultured bacterium. Its description in RNAcentral is "partial 16S ribosomal RNA". It matches the Rfam family "Bacterial small subunit ribosomal RNA", at positions 568 to 774 of the family's 1533-position model. The record is from RNAcentral.